CCUACGGGAGGCAGCAGUGGGGAAUAUUGCGCAAUGGGCGAAAGCCUGACGCAGCGACGCCGCGUGAGGGAUGAAGGUCUUCGGAUCGUAAACCUCUGUCAGCAGGGAAGAACGGUCACUGUGCUAAUCAGCAGUGAAUUGACGGUACCUGCAAAGGAAGCACCGGCUAACUCCGUGCCAGCAGCCGCGGUAAUACGGAGGGUGCGAGCGUUAAUCGGAAUUACUGGGCGUAAAGCGCUCGUAGGCGGUAUGUCAAGUCAAGGGUGAAAUCCCCGGGCUCAACGUGGGAACUGCCUUUGAAACUGGCAAGCUGGAGUGUGGGAGAGGAUAGUGGAAUUCCAGGUGUAGAGGUGAAAUGCGUAGAGAUCUGGAGGAACAUCAGUGGCGAAGGCGGCUCUCUGGAACAUAACUGACGCUGAGGAGCGAAAGCGUGGGGAGCAAACAGGAGUAGAUACCCUAGUAGUC
RNAcentral lists this ribosomal RNA (465 nucleotides) under uncultured bacterium. RNAcentral describes it as "partial 16S ribosomal RNA". It matches the Rfam family "Bacterial small subunit ribosomal RNA", at positions 338 to 795 of the family's 1533-position model. The record is from RNAcentral.